UACAUGGGGUGCAAACGUUGCUCGGAAUCAUUGGGCGUAAAGAGCUCGUAGGCGGCUCAGUAAGUCAGGUGUGAAACCUCCAGGCUCAACCUGGAGACGCCACCUGAUACUGCUGUGGCUAGAGUCCGGUAGGGGAGCGUGGAAUUCCUGGUGUAGCGGUGAAAUGCGCAGAUAUCAGGAGGAACACCAGCGGCGAAGGCGGCGCUCUGGGCCGGAACUGACGCUGAGGAGCGAAAGCGUGGGUAGCAAACAGG
This 254-nucleotide ribosomal RNA is filed under the name uncultured bacterium. RNAcentral describes it as "partial 16S ribosomal RNA". It matches the Rfam family "Bacterial small subunit ribosomal RNA", at positions 524 to 776 of the family's 1533-position model. The record is from RNAcentral.